GCUUCAGUUUUAAUUUGACUUGAUUUCGGCAUCGGUGGAGUCGCCAUCUUGGUCUUGGGGUGUUUGCGUGAUCCCGGAGUUACCGCUGACAUCGUGGCGUUCCUCGCUUGCGACGACGUGCCUGUUCGCGUCCAAAACAAAAAAGGUGUGAAGAAGAGAUUGAUUCUUGUGUUUUCUUUUUGGUUUAGUUUAAUCGACCCAGACAUUUCCCGGUUAAGGUCUCGGGAUUCAAAUUCACCCCAGGCCCCCGUCCUAGAUAUCAUACGACAAACUACUUUUGUAUUUUGUCUUUUAUUCCACCGUCAUGUAAGUAAUGUCGCAGGUGAAAGUCACAACCUGGGGUUUUUGGCCCGGAUGAUUUCCUGUUUGUUCUCCUCUAUGAGGAGCGUGCGGGAAUAAACAAAAAUAAAAAUAACCUCCCAUGUCUGAACAGUUACCGUGAAAAAAAAAAAAAAAACUUCUUAAAGAGGCUGAACAGCAGACGUCAUGGAAAGGACGUCAUGUGGAGCCAAGUGAGAUCUGUGAGAUUGUUGCCUCAUUCCUUCCCCCGGAAAAUGAAACGUGACAAAGAAAAAAAAAGAUCAUGAAGUCAUGAAGCAAAAACUCUGAGAACGCACGCCACACCCUGCGUUCUUGUUCCGAUGACAAAGAGCGCCGGCGGCCUCGGUGUAAGUCAAAGGUCACCUGGAACCACAGAAUACAAUGUCAUUCGCCGCAGCGCGGUGACCAUUGACCUACGGGAGGUGUGGAAACCGAAACAGGGGUGGCGAGGGACAACUUUGUCCAGUGACCAGUGCAGCAUUGAGGCACCACUAGCCAGGUGACACUCGCUCCUUCUCGUCUCGGUGUGCGUGCUGCCGAGGCGCGGCGGCGUCACCCGCUGGUCACUGGACUUCCCUUUUAACCCUCAGACCUCGGCAUCCAGACAGAUGCCAUCUUGUCUUUGGAAUGUUUUCAUAGUCGUCUGAAGCUUUUCACCUUUUGUUUGCGGUUUCCGAUGUGCAUCCAAUAGGACGCGUGUCACUGAUCCCCGGACCGGGUUCAGGUGGAGUCCAGCGGGGGCCACCGCGGCGAGCGGGACAACGUGGUCGGAUCGCCAGACGGCCUCUGUGCACACGCGCUUCAAAGAGGGGCUCCGGUGCGGAUAUCGAACGACGCGGGAGGCGACGACUUGAACCAGCCAGCUGAUAGAGUGUUACACUGUUUUGGUGAUAAGAGUUUGCAUUCAGCAGCUUCCCCUCCACCUUUGAUCCAGAUCGAUGGCCCCCGAGGAGGCAGCGUGAGGCCGAGUGAACGGCCCCCGACUUUAACGCGAUUCCCUCCACGUGCCCCUGCACACGUUUUAUUCAGGAAGCUCUAUUGAUGGAGCAGCUUGUCAACACGUGAACAGAAGCUUUUGGAGGCUGAGGAUCACGCGUUUUAACAGAAUGAUACAACAGUUAAUGGGAGACGGAACACUUUUUUAAUAUUAUAAGGACUAUCGUUAUUUAAUACACCUUCAAACAAGGGCUUAGACCAAAAGACUGUAACUGGAAAAACAGUAAGAACAACAGGUGUGUAGCAGUGAUAUUAAACGUAAUAAUAACAGUGAUAAGUCAAAUUAAAUUAUAUAUAUAUAUACAUAUUCAACAGCCCUAUUUAUUAUAACUUCAAAUAAGGUUUUUUGUAAACCGCAGCGAUGCUGCAGAGGCCGAAAUCCUGCAUUUGUCAUGUUAGCAGACUAAGCUUAGCACAGUUUGCAGGGUCAGAUGUUAACGGAUCCAGAACAAGUGGAAAACUUUACCGGUGUCAUAAACGCACCAUCGGGGAGCAAAAUGACUAAAAAGGGAGACUUUUGAGAUCUUCUUUCGUCACUGAGGGAAACUUUUAGUUACAAGAAUAUAAAUCGUGACAAGUUGGUGACACGAUGCCCAGCGCAUAUAUAUAUUGGACCACACAUACAGGCGAUGAUCUCUGGCUGUUGAACACGUGGCCGCAGCACAGAGCGAUCCUGCUUUGUCCACAGCACAUGAACCAACUGAACUCAGGAGGUGACGACCAAAGAGCGAAAUGUCCGAUCAGAGCAAACAGCUCUUUUUUCUUUUUUUUUCACAACACGAGGGACCGUUUUCACUGGCAACUAAUUAUGCUUCUGCUUAAACUAAAUUUGAAUUUUUUUUGUUCCUCUAGAAGAAGCUCAAAGCUAAAAAGGUCUUCACUGAAAACAUUUAGAUGGUCGACACUAACAACUACUGAACUUUGCCCCAGUAAGUGUCCUCUUAAAUGGAGAGAGAGAGGGGGGGGAGAGAGACACAGAGCAGUGGUGAGUCAGAGAGGACAGAAGAAGACCACUGGAACAAGGAUCUCCCACUCAAAUCCGGCGAAUAAGUGUAGGUUUUGGAAAUGACGGCACGCUACAGAAUUUGAAUAAUCUUCUUUCAGCUCCUCUGCAGAAGGCACCUGAAGUUCGUCUCCACAACUGAAGGAUUCUUGUCUACAUUUCGAGCCCAGGCCCGUUUGGCCCCGGUUGGUUCAUUUAGUCCAAACGCAGAUUUAAAAAGGAGGAAAAAGACCUUUCCCGGCAUUGGUGCUUAAAUGCUGAACGUUUUGGUUUGUUUUGAAGGAUUCUUUAACGGGACCUCGGUCUCCCCCUACUGGAGAACUGAUGAAACCACAGGGACCGUCCCGGCUGCAGCGUUCACGUCCCACAGAAUGAACCGGGACGGACUCCGACACUCUCCUGAUCUCCUUUAACCUUCUCUAAUGUAAUGCGUUGACUUGCAGGUGCCUUAGUGCCACCAGGCGUCGCGGGGACUCGGGACAUCGAGGGGGGGGGGGGGGGGGGAUGGAAGGCAGCGGCGGGUCAGAGCCUGCGCCUCCCGCCCGCGAGGACAUCGGCUGCGCCGGGGCCUCUGCUCUCCUCGGGCCCCCUGGACAAGUGGCACCACCAGGCGGACUCCGUCCUCACGGCGGCCCGGCUCGCUCGCAGAGGAUGGACGGAGGAGGGGACGAAGAUGGCAUGGGGGCCGGACCCCUCGCGUCGACCCCCCGCCUCCGGGUCAGAUGGGAAUCGGGCCUCGGAACGUGGCGCCGUUGGCCCGAAGGAACCCGGGGGCGGACGGGUUCGGGACGCGGAGACGGAAGCCUCGUUCUCGGCGGACAGACGCGCCGAGGGACAGACGGGCCUCCGCGUUGUGGUGUCCGUCCGCCGCGCCGCAUGCAGACAGCCGAGGAGGUUCAAGGCGCCGAGACUACCGGUCAUCGCUGAGAUGUAGACCGACGCCGCCGUCUCCUCCAGAGGGGACACAAAUGUCUUCCUUAUGAUAAGU
Molecule: long non-coding RNA, 3308 nt
Organism: Gasterosteus aculeatus aculeatus (three-spined stickleback)
Lineage: Eukaryota; Metazoa; Chordata; Actinopteri; Perciformes; Gasterosteidae
Source: Ensembl